Molecule: ribosomal RNA, 439 nt
Filed under: uncultured bacterium
Lineage: Bacteria
Description: partial 16S ribosomal RNA
Rfam family: Bacterial small subunit ribosomal RNA
Source: RNAcentral
CUACGGGUUGCAGCAGUGGGGAAUUUUGCGCAAUGGGGGAAACCCUGACGCAGCAAUACCGCGUGAGUGAAGAAGGCCUUUGGGCCGUAAAGCUCUUUUCUUGGGGAAGAUAGUGACGGUACCCAAGGAAUAAGCACCGGCUAACUCCGUGCCAGCAGCCGCGGUAAUACGGAGGGUGCAAGCGUUGUCCGGAUUUACUGGGCGUAAAGGGCACGUAGGCGGCACAGCAAGUUAAGGGUGAAAUCCCGGGGCUCAACUCCGGAACUGCUCUUAAAACUGCUGAGCUAGAGAUAGUCAGAGGCGGGUGGAAUUCCAGGUGUAGAGGUGAUAUUCGUAGAUAUCUGGAGGAACACCGGUGGCGAAGGCGGCCCGCUGGGGCUAUUCUGACGCUAAGGUGCGAAAGCGUGGGGAGCAAACGGGAUUAUAUACCCCCGUAGUC